UAGGGAAUCUUCCACAAUGGACGCAAGUCUGAUGGAGCAACGCCGCGUGAGUGAAGAAGGUCUUCGGAUCGUAAAGCUCUGUUGUUGGUGAAGAAGGAUAGAGGCAGUAACUGGUCUUUAUUUGACGGUAAUCAACCAGAAAGUCACGGCUAACUACGUGCCAGCAGCCGCGGUAAUACGUAGGUGGCAAGCGUUGUCCGGAUUUAUUGGGCGUAAAGCGAGCGCAGGCGGAAUGAUAAGUCUGAUGUGAAAGCCCACGGCUCAACCGUGGAACUGCAUCGGAAACUGUCAUUCUUGAGUGCAGAAGAGGAGAGUGGAACUCCAUGUGUAGCGGUGGAAUGCGUAGAUAUAUGGAAGAACACCAGUGGCGAAGGCGGCUCUCUGGUCUGCAACUGACGCUGAGGCUCGAAAGCAUGGGUAGCGAACAGGAUUAGAUACCCUGGUAGUCCAUGCCGUAAACGAUGAGCGCUAGGUGUUGGGGACUUUCCGGUUCUCAGUGCCGCAGCAAGCGCAUUAAGCGCUCCGCCUGGGGAGUACGACCGCAAGGUUGAAAC
This 554-nucleotide ribosomal RNA is filed under the name uncultured bacterium. RNAcentral describes it as "partial 16S ribosomal RNA". It matches the Rfam family "Bacterial small subunit ribosomal RNA", at positions 355 to 900 of the family's 1533-position model. The record is from RNAcentral.